Molecule: ribosomal RNA, 501 nt
Filed under: uncultured bacterium
Lineage: Bacteria
Description: bacterial SSU rRNA
Rfam family: Bacterial small subunit ribosomal RNA
Source: RNAcentral
GAUGAACGCUAGCGGCAGGCUUAAUACAUGCAAGUCGUGGGGCAGCGCAGUGUAGCAAUACAUGGGCGGCGACCGGCAAACGGGUGCGGAACACGUACACAAUCUUCCUUCAAAUGGGGAAUAGCCCAGGGGAAACUUGGAUUAAUACCCCGUAACAUUAUGAAGUGGCAUCACUUAUAAUUAUAGCUCCGGCGUUGGUAGAUGGGUGUGCGGCUGAUUAGGUAGUUGGCGGGGUAACGGCCCACCAAGCCUUCGAUCAGUAACUGGUGUGAGAGCACGACCAGUCACACGGGCACUGAGACACGGGCCCGACUCCUACGGGAGGCAGCAGUAAGGAAUAUUGGGCAAUGGACGCAAGUCUGACCCAGCCAUGCCGCGUGGAGGAUGAAGGUCCUCUGGGAUUGUAAACUUCUUUCUCUGGGCGAAAAAUAGGUNUUCUUACUUCUUGACAGUACCAGAGGAAUAAGCACCGGCUAACUCCGUGCCAGCCGCCGNGGUAAU